Molecule: non-coding RNA, 192 nt
Organism: Caenorhabditis elegans
Lineage: Eukaryota; Metazoa; Nematoda; Chromadorea; Rhabditida; Rhabditidae
Source: Ensembl
GGGGGGGGGGGGAGACAAGUGAAUACUGUUUCGUCAAUUUCUGGUGGUGCCAAGACGCCACGCGUUUUUGUGCCGUCUCUCUCUCUCUCUGUCCGUAAACGGACGCCUUACACUAAUUGCUCUUUCUUUUACCGUACGAAGAAGAAAACACGCACUUAUUAUAGGGUAGUGGGUCGAAAAGAAAACGGAAAA